AUGAACGCUAGCGGCAGGCCUAAUACAUGCAAGUCGAACGGUAACAGGUGUAGCAAUACAUGCUGACGAGUGGCGCACGGGUGCGUAACGCGUAUGCAACCUUCCCUUAACUGGAGAAUAGCCCGAAGAAAUUCGGAUUAAUGCUCCAUAAUAUUGCGUCCCGGCAUCGGGAUGCUCUUAAAACUCCGGUGGUUAAGGAUGGGCAUGCGUGGCAUUAGCUAGUUGGUGAGGUAAUGGCUCACCAAGGCUACGAUGCCUAGGGGAUCUGAGAGGAUUAUCCCCCACACUGGUACUGAGACACGGACCAGACUCCUACGGGAGGCAGCAGUAAGGAAUAUUGGACAAUGGGGGCAACCCUGAUCCAGCCAUGCCGCGUGAAGGAUGAAGGACCUAUGGUUUGUAAACUUCUUUUAUAUGGUAAAAAACCACUCUACGUGUAGAGUGCUGAUUGCCGUAAGAAUAAGGGUCGGCUAACUUCGU
Molecule: ribosomal RNA, 480 nt
Filed under: uncultured bacterium
Lineage: Bacteria
Description: bacterial SSU rRNA
Rfam family: Bacterial small subunit ribosomal RNA
Source: RNAcentral